GUGGGGAAUCUUGCGCAAUGGGCGAAAGCCUGACGCAGCCAUGCCGCGUGAAUGAUGAAGGUCUUAGGAUUGUAAAAUUCUUUCACCGGGGACGAUAAUGACGGUACCCGGAGAAGAAGCUCCGGCUAACUUCGUGCCAGCAGCCGCGGUAAUACGAAGGGGGCUAGCGUUGCUCGGAAUUACUGGGCGUAAAGGGCGCGUAGGCGGACAGCUUAGUCAGAGGUGAAAGCCCAGGGCUCAACCUUGGAAUUGCCUUUGAUACUGGCUGUCUUGAGUUUGGGAGAGGUGAGUGGAACUCCGAGUGUAGAGGUGAAAUUCGUAGAUAUUCGGAAGAACACCAGUGGCGAAGGCGACUCACUGGCCCAAUACUGACGCGGAGGCGCGAAAGCGUGGGGAGCAAACAGGAUUAGAAACCCCAGUAGUCC
RNAcentral lists this ribosomal RNA (425 nucleotides) under uncultured bacterium. RNAcentral describes it as "partial 16S ribosomal RNA". It matches the Rfam family "Bacterial small subunit ribosomal RNA", at positions 354 to 796 of the family's 1533-position model. The record is from RNAcentral.